AACACAUUCUGUUUCAACUUGUCAAUUUUCUGAUUUGUCAAAUCUCAAGGGUUGAACUUAGUAGAUAUAUUAUUCAUUAUAUUAUACCAUUUAACAUUCAACAUUGUUUGCAAUGUGCAUCAUUUCAUUUCCUUUUUAUUUAAAACGUAUUAAAACGUCAACCGUGGCAAAGAAAUAUUUGCAUAAAUACUUUAUUAGUAUUGUUCAACAUAUGAAGAAAAAAAACCAUUGUAUUGUUAUUAUUAUUUCAUUUUGAGUGACUGACUGAAUUCAGUCACUCGAUUUCAUCUUUAUAUCAAAGAAUUCAAUCAGUAUAUUUGAAGGUAACAUAAAUCUUAUUUGUACUUGUUCUUCUUAAAUAAAGCCCAAACUGUAAAUUCGGAAACAGAAUUCGGAUUACAGAUAUUAAGAUUAAAUACAAACAACAUAUAACAGAAACAGCUAAAUGAAAUUAACUCUGUAUCCUGUUCAUUAUUUUCACAAACUGUUGACUGAAUUCAGUCACACAACAUUUGAAAGAAGCUACAAGAAAUUGAACUAAAUAAGAGUGUUUCAUAAGACUUAAAUUACACCAAGUGAGAUUACAUAGUAUUAACAUCUAUAAAACAGAUGACUGAAUUCAGUCAACACAAAUUCAGUAAAUAUUUGUUGAAAAUAGACCAAUUCUGCAAAAGUAAAAACUAGAAUGACUGAAUUCAGUCACAAUAUUAGGUUUACACAGUUAUAUUCAAUAGAGCAAUAAAUUCACAUAGUUAGUUUACAGGUCGAUGUUUGUGAUUUGGUCAGUUUAAAGCUUAACACUAACGAUGAUUACAUAAGAUGUACUAGCUUUUGCAUGAUGAUUAUUUUUCCUCCCCCAUUCAUGUGAUUCAUCGACUUUUAAACUUUUGCAAAGGGUCGAUUUUUAAUUAAAAAUUAAAUACACAAAAAGAGUUUUAAAAGCAGCAUUGUCUAGCGUUUUCAUCCAUCUUGGGACUUUUUCAAGACUUUUUUUUAUAUAUUUAUAUAUAUCAGAACACUGAUAAAAUCGGGUAAUUAGUUAUUUAAGUAUUGUAAUUUAAAUUUCAACAUUUGUAUUAUACAUAUCUGUCAACAUUGCACCCAGGUGAUUCAAUCUGUAUUAAAUUUUCCAUUUUUGUUUUGUUACUAAUUCUUGAUUUCAAAAUUAAGUGAAAUUUUGAAAGCUAUUGUAUUUAAAUGAUACUGGACUAUCUAAAUGCUUAUUCGUAUGGUGUGCUAUUACACCACUGUCCCAGGCUAGGAGAGGAUUGAGCGCUCACAAACUUGUCCCUCCACAUUCUCAAUGUGCCUGUCCAAAGUCAGGAGCCUGUCGUUCAGUGGUUGUUGUUGGUUCAUUUCUGCCAUAUUGUUCUUCGUAAAUUGUAAUACAUUAGGCCGUUAUCUUUUUCAAUUGAAUUGUUUCAUAUUUUUUUAUGUCGGGGCCGUUUAUAGAUGAAUAUACGGUAUGGCUGUUUCUUAUAAUGUUGAAGGUCGUAUGGUUGCCUUUAAUUGCUCGCAUUCACCUCAUCUGAACAUUCGUGGAUAACUGUCUCAUUGGUAAUCAUACCAAAGAGAUCCAAACUUUCACAAAAACUUUUAUUUUUUUCAAAGUAUUUAUAAUUUUAUGAAAAUGAGGAAAGUAAUGAUGUUUCAUUUAAAAGAAGAAAUGACUUCACCUGCACGUGACAUACUGAUAUAUUUAAUAUUAUU
Molecule: long non-coding RNA, 1710 nt
Filed under: Mytilus galloprovincialis (Mediterranean mussel)
Lineage: Eukaryota; Metazoa; Mollusca; Bivalvia; Mytilida; Mytilidae
Source: RNAcentral